UGCAAGUCAGAUGUGAAAGCCUUUCUGUUCAACGGAAGAAUUGCAUCUGAAACUGCUAAUCUUGAGUAUAGGAGGGGAGAAUGGAACUUCUGGUGGAGCGGUGAAAUGCGUUGAUAUCAGAAGGAACGCCGGCGGCGAAAGCGAUUCUCUGGCCUAUUACUGACACUCAGUGCGCGAAAGCUAGGGGAGCAAACGGGAUUAGAUACCCCGGUAGUCCUAGCCGUAAACGAUGGGCACUAAGUAGAGGGAAUUACCUAUAUUCUCUCUGCCGUAGCUAACGCAUUAAGUGCCCCGCCUGGGGAGUACGGCCGCAAGGCUAAAACUCAAAAGAAUUGACGGGGGCUCGCACAAGCGGUGGAGCAUGUGGCUUAAUUCGAUGCAACGCGAAAAACCUUACCGGGGCUUGACAUGAUAGAAGUAGGAACCUGAAAGGGGGACGAACGGUAUCCAGUCCGUAGCUAUUACAGGUGUUGCAUGGCUGUCGUCAGCUCGUGUCGUGAGACGUUGGGUUAAGUCCCCUAACGAGCGAAACCCUUGUUUUUAGUUACCAGCGGGUUAUGCCGGGUACUCUAGAAAGACUGCCGUCGUCAAGACGGAGGAAGGUGGGGAUGACGUCAAGUCAUCAUGGCCCUUAUGCCCCGGGCUGCACACGUGCUACAAUGGUCGGUACAGACGGAAGCGAAG
Molecule: ribosomal RNA, 684 nt
Filed under: uncultured bacterium
Lineage: Bacteria
Description: bacterial SSU rRNA
Rfam family: Bacterial small subunit ribosomal RNA
Source: RNAcentral